GUGCUCACUUUGGCAGCACAUAUAGUAAAAUUGGAAUGAUACAGAGAAGAUUGGCAUGGCCCCAGUGCAAGGAUGACACUCAAAUUCAUGAAGCAUUCCAUAUUUUU
This is a small nuclear RNA of Loxodonta africana (African savanna elephant), 107 nucleotides long. NCBI's taxonomy places the organism in Eukaryota, Metazoa, Chordata, Mammalia, Proboscidea, Elephantidae. The record is from Ensembl.